This 492-nucleotide ribosomal RNA is filed under the name uncultured bacterium. Its description in RNAcentral is "partial 16S ribosomal RNA". It matches the Rfam family "Bacterial small subunit ribosomal RNA", at positions 29 to 507 of the family's 1533-position model. The record is from RNAcentral.
AGUGAACGCUGGCGGUAGGCCUAACACAUGCAAGUCGAACGGCAGCACAGUAAGAGCUUGCUCUUACGGGUGGCGAGUGGCGGACGGGUGAGGAAUACAUCGGAAUCUACUUUUUCGUGGGGGAUAACGUAGGGAAACUUACGCUAAUACCGCAUACGACCUACGGGUGAAAGCAGGGGAUCUUCGGACCUUGCGCGAUUGAAUGAGCCGAUGUCGGAUUAGCUAGUUGGCGGGGUAAAGGCCCACCAAGGCGACGAUCCGUAGCUGGUCUGAGAGGAUGAUCAGCCACACUGGAACUGAGACACGGUCCAGACUCCUACGGGAGGCAGCAGUGGGGAAUAUUGGACAAUGGGCGCAAGCCUGAUCCAGCCAGACCGCGUGGGUGAAGAAGGCCUUCGGGUUGUAAAGCCCUUUUGUUGGGAAAGAAAAGCAGCAGGUUAAUACCCCGCUGUUCUGGCGGUACCCAAAGAAUAAGCACCGGCUAACUUCGUG